This 255-nucleotide ribosomal RNA is filed under the name uncultured bacterium. RNAcentral's name for it is "partial small subunit ribosomal RNA". It matches the Rfam family "Bacterial small subunit ribosomal RNA", at positions 26 to 286 of the family's 1533-position model. The record is from RNAcentral.
AGGACGAACGCUGGCGGCGUGCUUAACACAUGCAAGUCGAGCGGAAAGGCCCUUCGGGGUACUCGAGCGGCGAACGGGUGAGUAACACGUGAGCAACCUGCCCUUGGCUCUGGGAUAGCCUCCGGAAACGGGGAUUAAUACCGGACAUUCACUUUCUCCUGCAUGGGGGUUGGUGGAAAGUUUUUCGGCCAGGGAGGGGCUCGCGGCCUAUCAGCUUGUUGGCGGGUAACGGCCCACCAAGGCGACGACGGGUAG